GGGCGAGUGGCGAAACGGCAGACGCACUAGCUUUAGGAGCUAGCGGGGCAACCCAUGGAGGUUCGACUCCUCUCUCGCCCACCA
Molecule: transfer RNA, 84 nt
Filed under: Patescibacteria group bacterium
Lineage: Bacteria
Description: tRNA-Leu
Rfam family: tRNA
About the family: Transfer RNA (tRNA) molecules are approximately 80 nucleotides in length. Their secondary structure includes four short double-helical elements and three loops (D, anti-codon, and T loops). Further hydrogen bonds mediate the characteristic L-shaped molecular structure. tRNAs have two regions of fundamental functional importance: the anti-codon, which is responsible for specific mRNA codon recognition, and the 3' end, to which the tRNAs corresponding amino acid is attached (by aminoacyl-tRNA synthetases). tRNAs cope with the degeneracy of the genetic code in two manners: having more than one tRNA (with a specific anti-codon) for a particular amino acid; and 'wobble' base-pairing, i.e. permitting non-standard base-pairing at the 3rd anti-codon position.
Source: RNAcentral